Molecule: small nucleolar RNA, 129 nt
Organism: Cavia aperea (Brazilian guinea pig)
Lineage: Eukaryota; Metazoa; Chordata; Mammalia; Rodentia; Caviidae
Source: Ensembl
GGCACUUGUGUCUUUUUGGUCUUAAUUUGUAGACUAAAAUUUCAAUUUACUGGUGAAAAAAAAUAAAUCCUCUUUUGCAGCCCAGAACUCAUUGUUCAUAUGAGUUUUGAGAUAUAUAUGAAAAAUACA